UAAGACGAACCGUGCGAACGUUGUUCGGAAUCACUGGGCUUAAAGGGCGCGUAGGCGGAUCAGCAAGUCCGGGGUGAAAUCUUUCGGCUUAACCGGAAAAGUGCCUUGGAUACUGCUGAUCUUGAGGGAGGUAGGGGCAUGUGGAACUUCUGGUGGAGCGGUGAAAUGCGUUGAUAUCAGAAGGAACGCCGGUGGCGAAAGCGACAUGCUGGCCCUCUUCUGACGCUGAGGCGCGAAAGCUAGGGUAGCGAACGGGAUUAGAUACCCCGGUAGUCCUAGCCCUAAACGAUGGGUACUAGGUUGUGGGCUAAACAUGGGCUCACAGCCGAAGCAAAAGUGUUAAGUACCCCGCCUGGGGAGUAUGGUCGCAAGGCUG
RNAcentral lists this ribosomal RNA (376 nucleotides) under uncultured bacterium. RNAcentral's name for it is "bacterial SSU rRNA". It matches the Rfam family "Bacterial small subunit ribosomal RNA", at positions 521 to 896 of the family's 1533-position model. The record is from RNAcentral.